Molecule: ribosomal RNA, 378 nt
Filed under: uncultured bacterium
Lineage: Bacteria
Description: bacterial SSU rRNA
Rfam family: Bacterial small subunit ribosomal RNA
Source: RNAcentral
ACUCCUACGGGAGGCAGCAGUAAGGAUAUUGGGCAAUGGAUGAGAGUCUGACCCAGCCAUGCCGCGUGCGGAUGAAGGCCCUACGGUCGUAACCGCUUUACAGAGGAAGAAAAGUCCCACUUGUGGGAUCGUGACGGUACUCUGCGAAUAAGCACCGGCUAACUCCGUGCCAGCAGCCGCGGUAAUACGGAGGGUGCGAGCGUUUAUCCGGAAUCACUGGGUUUAAAGGGUGCGCAGGCGGCCGUUUAAGUCAGGAGUGAAAGACCCCGCUCAACGGGGAGCUGCUCUUGAUACUGGACGGCUCGGAUCGGGAUGAGGUCGGCGGAAUGUGGCAUGUAGCGGUGAAAUGCAUAGAUAUGCCAUGGAACACCAAUUGCG